CCUACGGGAGGCUGCAGUAGGGAAUCUUCCACAAUGGACGAAAGUCUGAUGGAGCAACGCCGCGUGAGUGAAGAAGGGUUUCGGCUCGUAAAGCUCUGAUGGUAGUGAAGAAAGAUAGAGGUAGUAACUGGCCAUUAUAUGACGGUAAUUACUUAGAAAGUCCCGGCUACCUACGUGCCAGCAGCCGCGGUAAUACGUAGGUGGCAAGCGUUGUCCGGAUUUGUUGGGCGUAAAGCGAGUGCCGGCGGUUCAAUAAGUCUGAUGUGAAAGCCUUCGGCUCAAAAGGAGAAUUGCAUCAGAAACUGUUGGACUUGAGUGCAGAAGAGGAGAGUGGAACUCCAUGUGUAGCGGUGGAAUGCGUAGAUAUAUGGAAGAACACCAGUGGCGAAGGCGGCUCUCUGGUCUGCAACUGACGCUGAGGCUCGAAAGCAUGGGUAGCGAACAGGAUUAGAUACCCUUGUAGUC
RNAcentral lists this ribosomal RNA (465 nucleotides) under uncultured bacterium. RNAcentral describes it as "partial 16S ribosomal RNA". It matches the Rfam family "Bacterial small subunit ribosomal RNA", at positions 338 to 795 of the family's 1533-position model. The record is from RNAcentral.